AUGCCGUCGGACGGUUCCCACAACUCCCCGGCUAUGUUGCCGUCACAUAUGUUUGAUAUGGACGUAUCUAACUCGCUAAGCUUAAAGCCCAUGGAUGACAACAGUGCUCUCACUGAACUGCAGCGUCAGUUUGAGGUCCUACGGAAGCAGCAGGAGAAGAGACAACUGGACCUGAAGAAGAACGUGGACCCGCUUGGAAAGACAGAAGAUUUGCAACUGUCCGAACAACGCAUUCCAAUAGACACUGCAGAAGAAAGGCUAAAAGUUGAAAACGAGAUUAUACUGGACCAACUGCGCGCUCUCAAGGAUGAAAACGGAAAACUGUUGAAACUUGUCAGAGAAAAGGAUUUUGAAAUCAAACACGUCCAGAAAAAGCGAG
This 379-nucleotide long non-coding RNA is filed under the name Neogobius melanostomus (round goby). Its description in RNAcentral is "lncRNA (ENSNMLG00000019412.1)". Lineage: Eukaryota; Metazoa; Chordata; Actinopteri; Gobiiformes; Gobiidae. The record is from RNAcentral.